Molecule: long non-coding RNA, 762 nt
Organism: Pipra filicauda (Wire-tailed manakin)
Lineage: Eukaryota; Metazoa; Chordata; Aves; Passeriformes; Pipridae
Exons: 4
Source: RefSeq, a predicted model, not a curated record
AUACAUUUCAAGCCACAGUCUGAUCACUUGACAAGGACUACAAGAGACUAAAUCUACAUUCUGUUACCACAUCCCAGAAACAUCUGCUGUAACUGGAUUUGGUCUCUGUUAUGUGUCAACCUGAACCACCUGAGAGGUUCCACACCCAAGAGGAAAAACCCCUGGCACCAUCUCAGCCCUUACUUUAACCAGACUGCUCUUCUGAGAGAGACAAUCACUGAGUCCAGGAGAUGCUAUGCAUGGAACAACUUGAUCAUGGUCUGGUUUUCACUUUCUAGAUAAGUACAGUCACACUACAAAAUGCAGUACACAUUCUUGAAAAUAGAGGUUAUGAUGUCACUUGAAGGGAAAAGUCAGAUACAAAUGUGUAUUAUAUAUGACAGCUCCUUCCCUGCUCUGCACAUAUGGUUCUGAACACGUGUUUCUUUAUCUGCUGAUUCAAUACCUACAUCAUUUUGUCCCUCAGUGAAAUUUCUUUCCUGGGAUCCUUGCCAAAUGUUUAAAUUCAGAGUGAUGGUAUUUUUUUCUGGGAGGAUUGUGUCUCCACAAAGAGCCAAAAAGGCUGCACUGGGAAGCUGUCACAUAGUCCUGCUUCUAGAGCUGUGUAUGACAAAGCAAAAGGCUUUAAUGUCACUAUUAACAAAUGUACUAUCACUCAGCCUUAUCACCUCCUGACAUCCCUUGACUCCCUCUUCCCAACUUCCUUUUGCCUUCUCACUAUCCUCAGGUGCCUGUCACAGCAAAAAAAAAGAACUUAAACCA